GUGUAUUUCCCAAGCACACACCCCGAAAGCCUUCUGCAUGCAAUUCUCCAUCUCAGAUUUGUGUCCAAGGAACCCAAGCCGAGCCAGUGUGGUGCGCCUGGACUUCACAGAUUGCCCUCAUCAGAUGAGCUCAGCUCCUGGCCUUCCUGUCUGGAGCCUGAGUGCACCUCCAGGUGAGGAAGUGACUCCUUUUCACCUUCAGGAUGAAAAUGAAACUCACCAGAAAAAAGCAACAUACCUGAUCUAGCAGCAGAUUUCUUCUGGAGCUGUGCUGUUCAAUACACACUAGAUCUGAUGUUAAGCAUUCUCAUCACACACAAAAAAGAAUAACAGAGUGCAGGAGGAAACUAUUAGAGAUGAUUGAUAUGUCUGUGGCAUAGACUGUGGUGAUGAGUUCACAGCUAUACACUUAUCUCCAAACUUAUCAAGCUGUAUACAUCAAUUAUGCACAGCUUUUUGUAUGUCAAUCAUACCUUAAUAAAGUGGUUUAAAAACACAGUAGCCACUAGCCACAUGUGGCUACUUAAAUUUUAAAAAUGAAACAAAAUUAAAAUUUCUGUUCCUCACCUGCUCGACAGCCACACAUAGUGAGUGGCUAACUUUUUGAAUAGCGCCGAUAUAAAACUUUUCCAUCACCACAAAUGGUUCUGGACACAACUGAUCAACAGUUUUAGCUUUUUCCAGUUCCUGUAUCUGCUCUCUUCUAUACCUCCUAGCCUCAACGUAGAAUGCCCUUCUCCUUUUCUUUGUCUGAUUCCCACAUACCCUGCAGAUCAACUUUCACCUACUCUGGAGAAGUGUCUCCUAACCACUCAUGUCUCCAGCCUGGAUUGCAUGCCCUUCUGUGGCCCAUUGGAGCCCUGGGCAUAGAAUGCCCACUACAGUCAACUGCAGAUGUCGGUUCACUGGUCCUUGUCCUCUAGCAGCUCGCCGAAGGAAGAGUAUGUCUUCAACUUCUGAUUCCCCAGGACCCAGCUUUGUUUCUGAAAAAUGGACAAAGCUUAGUUGCUGUGACGGCUCUCCUUCUGACUAAAUGCUUUCCAGGGAUCUAUAGAUCUGAAUGUGUUCUCCUCCAAGGCAGAAACGAGGAAGGACCUUCUUUUGGGGCUGUAGAGAGAAGAGGUGAUUACAAACCCGCCCAGGCCAACCCAGAAACAAACCAACCAAAUUAAUGGGUCAGUGGACCACUGUUGGUGGAUUCCCUAGAAAACCGUCUGAGGUGCCUCAACACUAUCUCCGGCUCCACAUAUGCUUCUUACAAUGUGACACGGACACUCGUCCCAUUGAAAGGUGGGGGUCCGUGUCCCCUCUCCUCUGCCCUUGAACUGGACAAGAUUUAUGGCUAUUUCAACCAAUGGCAGAAGUGAUAUCAUAAAGUGUGAGGCAGUGUACUUUCUGGCUGUUGGAAUAGUCGCUUCGGAACCCUAAGCUAUCAUCUAAGAUCUCUGACUACCCUGAAGCUGACAUCCUGUGAGGAAGCCCAGGCCGUAUGGAGAGGCCCAUCUGAGGUUCCAGCCAACAGCGAGAAUCAAAUGCCAGACAUGGGAGUGAAGAUGUCUCCAGAAGAUUCUAGCUUCCAGUCACCGAGUCUUCCCAACUGAGGUCCCAGACAUCAUGGAGCAGAGAUAAGCUGCCUUUGCUGUGCCCUUUCCGAAUUCCCUAUCCACAGAAUCUGGGAGUGUAAUAAAAUAAUUGUUUCACCCUAUUAAGUUUGGGGUGGUUUGUUACAAGGCAAUAGUAAUUGGUACAGAUAUGAAACCAGGAGCCCUAUGUGGUCCCCAAGUCCUCCUGAGAUAGAGAUCUGGGAGUGGCUACUUUGUGGAAGAGUUAGAGCUUCUUGGAAUACUAUUUGAAAACCUCUGGACUAACCAAGGGCUCCAAAUUCUGUGUUUCUAAGAAACCUGGAAUUUAAUAGCUUUAUCAAGAAAGAGAAUUGUCUCGUUCAGUGUUAUGAACUGAAUUGUGUCCCCCCAAAAGAUGAAGUCCUAACCCCCAGUACCUGUGAAUGUGAACUUAUUUGGAAAUAAGGUAUUUGCAGACUAUCGACUUAAGAUGGCAGCAUCAGGGUGAGCUCUGAUCCAAUAUUCUGUAUCCUUAUAAAAAGGAGAAGUUUGGACACAGAGACAACACACACAGAGAUAACGCCAUAUGAAGAUGAAGGUAGAGAUUGGGUGCUGCAUCUAUCAGCCAACGAUUACCAAAGAUUGCCAACAAACCAUAGACUAUGGAACAGAUUCUCCCUCACAGCCCUCAGAAGGAACCAACCCUGCUUUCACUUUGAUCUACAACUGUGAGACAAUAAUUUUGUUUGUUUAAGCCACCCAGUAUGUGGUAGUUUGUCACGGCAGCUCUGGGAAAAUAAUACAUUCGAGAACCAGUUUGAACAGGAGUGAUAGCCCUUUAUAGCUCCAAGGUCCUCAGCUAAUGCAAGUUAGGCCUCUUGAUUCAUUCAGCAAUAUCUUUUCAAGGUCCAUCUCAUAGAAGUCACAAUGGGAAGCACUUUAGAAAAAUACAAAGAUAAAUUAAGUCUUGGUUUCCACAAUCAUUGGAACACCAACUCUGGAAGGAGAGAUAUGGUAAGUCCUAAAAUAACCAUAGUACAAGUGAUAAGGGCCCUAGAUAAUGAGGCAUGUAGAAAGUGUUAAGAGAAAUUCUAAAUAAGCCUUAAAAUUCUUUUAAAAAGUCUCAGUGAUCUUAGUAUAAGUAGAGCCAAAAUUAGAUUUGGAUGGACAGAGUUGAAGGUAGAAGGGGCAUUUCUAUGAAUGUCUAACACUCAGUGGGUCCCUGGCUAAUUGAUUAAAGUACAUAGGUAAAGUAUAACUCCUUUAUUGUCAGGUCUAUUUAAAGCAUUUAUAGAGUCCUAGAUACAUUUUUGGAUAAUGAUUGUUUCCUCCCUGUACACAUAAGAAAAAAAUGUGUAUGAGUCUAAACAUUUUAAAACAACCUAGAAUGCAACUUCUGUCUUACAAGCAUUUACUACAAGGUUUUAGAGUCAACUUUCAGGCAUUUUUGAUGCAAGUUCUUUUUUUUUUUUUUUUUUAGUUUUUAUUGGAGUAUAGUUGAUUUACAAUGUUGUGUUAGUUUCAAGUGUACAGCAAAGUGACUCAGUUAUACAUAUAUCCACUCUUUUAUUUAGAUUCUUUUCCCAUAUAGGUCAUUACAGAAUACUGAGUUGAGUUCCCUGUGCUGUACAGUAGGUUCUUAUUAGUUAUCUAUUUUAUAUAUAACAGUGUGUAUAUGUCAAUCCCAAUCUCCCAAUUUAUCCCUUCCUCCAUCUAUCCCCUGAUGCAAGUUCUUGAUCAGAUUUAUAAUUAAAGCUCUCAAUAGUCACUACUAGUGUCUUUUUAAAAAAUUAUUUUUGUUUUAUUAUAUCAGUUUCUGAGUUAGGAAAAGUUAUUUGAAAAUAAUGGUCUAGUUAGUUUUCCAUACUUGAGAUUUGAUUGUUUUCACAUUGUUGGUAGAACUGAAGGGCAACAAAUCAGCCUGAAGUUUAGAAAGUGCACUGAGCAUCCUUUAUCAGGAGGUUCCCCGUUGACUCACACCUCUACUCCCCAUACUACCCCACAAGAAACAAAAGCCUUAUGUAAUAUAAAUCAGGUAUUUAAUCCCUCUGACAUUUUUCAUAUUUCCCAUUUGAAACCAAUUCAGUUUCUUUAAGAGGUUAUCUGGACUUAAACUAUUUAUGUAGCUAAAUGUUUUGACUGAGUAGUUUUGACUGAAGCUGAAUCUCUAGUUUUCAAUUUCACAAGCAGAAACUCAUUUUAAACACUUCCUCACUUCUCGUAAUAACCUAGAAUGGAAAAUAAUCUUAAAUUUAUAUAUAUAUAUAUAAAUUACUUUCCUGUACACAUGAAGCUAACACUACAACGUAAAUCAACUAUACUUCAAUUAAAAAAAAAGCAAAGGGGAAAAAUACUAAAGUUAGGGCAGUCAACAUCCUGUUUUUGUUUCUGGAUGCAUAAAACAACCAAACCUGUUAGCCUGCUGAUACUGUUAAGGCUUAGAAUGUGACUCCCAAGAAAAUAUGCAAGUUGCAUCACCAGAGGCUAGAACCUGGGGAGAAUUAAGAAGAAACCCUGAAUAAAUAAUAAGUCCUGAAUAAAGUCUUCCUUACCAUUCUAACAAGUAUCAGAUUAAUUUUUUCUUUAACACCACUUAGAGGUCAUUAAGGUACAUGGCCUCAGGUUUUUGUUGAGAUUGGCUACAUCAUAAAGUAUUUUUCAUAGAGCAAUUUAAAUCAUUAAGAAAUAUAAUUUAUACAUACAACUCAAUGGGCAUAAAUGGAACACAUCAACUAUUUCAUAAACUUGUGGACAUUUAUUUCUCAAACUUACAAUGAUUGUAGCUUCACAUUUUGCAUUGAUUUUAUCUAUACUUGGACUGAAUCAGCCUGAGAUGUUGAAAGCUGUUCAAAUGUUACUUAGAGUUUUUUUUUUUUUUUUUUUGCGGUAUGCGGGCCUCUCACUGUUGUGGCCUCUCCCGUUGCGGAGCACAGGCUCCGGACGCACAGGCUCAGCGGCCAUGGCUCACGGGCCCAGCCGCUCCGCAGCAUGUGGGAUCUUCCCGGACCGGGGCACGAACCCGUGUCCCCUGCAUCGGCAGGCGGACUCUCAACCACUGCGCCACCAGGGAAGCCCCUAGAGUAUGAUUUUAACAAACUUAUUCCACAUAAUCUAUGUGAAAUUAAAAUGGAAUCCCAAGAACCUUGUAAUUCAGAUUGAAGAAAUGCAGUUUUUUCCUAUACCAAAAUCUCUGCUGAAUAGUUGAUUUUUUUUUCUUAGAAGAACUAUGGAGGAGAUAUAAAAUGCAAAACUUGCAUGUUGCCUCUUUGUGUCACUUUCCCCAAGAUCUGUAUUACAUGAAACUAAUAAGAAUGGAACUAAAUACUUUUUUAAUGGUGCUGUCUAAAUGUAACCUGAGUUGAAAUAAAAUUAAUUCCACAACAAGGACCUACUGUAUAGCACAGAGAAUUAUAUUCAAUAUCUUGUAAUAACCUAUAACAUAAAAGAAUCUGAAAAAGAAUAUAUCUGUAUAUAUUUAUAUCUGUAUAUCUGAAUCACUUUGCUAUAUACCUGAAACUAUCACAUUGUAUAUUAACUAUUCUUCAAUUAAAAAAAUUAAUUCCAUAAGUGUUUAAAAAAAUAAAGUCCAUCUUCUAAUUGUUCCCAAACUUUACAAAAGAAGAAUCCCUGAAUCAAAAUAAUCAGAAUGGUCAUUUCCGUUCAGAUGUUUGGUAGUAAAAUCUUUGUCUAAUGUUGUGUUUUUUAUGCAAAAUCUCCAAACUCUGAAA
Long non-coding RNA from Orcinus orca (killer whale), 5290 nucleotides. RefSeq lists it as uncharacterized. NCBI's taxonomy places the organism in Eukaryota, Metazoa, Chordata, Mammalia, Artiodactyla, Delphinidae. The transcript is spliced from 5 exons. The record is from RefSeq and is a predicted model, not a curated record.